RNAcentral lists this ribosomal RNA (253 nucleotides) under uncultured bacterium. RNAcentral describes it as "partial 16S ribosomal RNA". It matches the Rfam family "Bacterial small subunit ribosomal RNA", at positions 524 to 776 of the family's 1533-position model. The record is from RNAcentral.
UACGGAGGUGGCAAGCGUUGCUCGGAAUCACUGGGCGUAAAGGGCGCGUAGGCGGGGAGGUAAGUCGGGUGUGAAAUCCCUCGGCCCAACUGAGGAACUGCGCCCGAGACUGCUUCUCUUGAGUCCCGGAGAGGAAGAUGGAAUUCCUGGUGUAGCGGUGAAAUGCGCAGAUAUCAGGAAGAACACCCGUGGCGAAGGCGGUUCUCUGGGACGGUACUGACGCUGAGACGCGAAAGCGUGGGGAGCGAACAGG